AUGAACGCUGGCGGCGUGCCUAAUACAUGCAAGUCGAGCGGGAUUUAGUAGACAGAAGCCUCGGUGGAAGAUUACUAAUGAGAGUGGCGAACGGGUGAGUAACGCGUGAGCAACCUGCCUAUGACAGUGGGAUAGCCUCGGGAAACCGGGAUUAAUACCGCAUAAAAUCGUAGAAACACAUGUUUCAACGGUCAAAGAUUUAUCGGUCAUAGAUGGGCUCGCGUCUGAUUAGCUAGUUGGUGAGAUAACAGCCCACCAAGGCGACGAUCAGCAGCCG
Molecule: ribosomal RNA, 277 nt
Filed under: uncultured bacterium
Lineage: Bacteria
Description: partial 16S ribosomal RNA
Rfam family: Bacterial small subunit ribosomal RNA
Source: RNAcentral